This 452-nucleotide ribosomal RNA is filed under the name Streptococcus mitis. Its description in RNAcentral is "bacterial SSU rRNA". It matches the Rfam family "Bacterial small subunit ribosomal RNA", at positions 38 to 474 of the family's 1533-position model. The record is from RNAcentral. Lineage: Bacteria; Bacillati; Bacillota; Bacilli; Lactobacillales; Streptococcaceae.
GGCGGCGUGCCUAAUACAUGCAAGUAGAACGCUGAAGGAGGAGCUUGCUUCUCUGGAUGAGUUGCGAACGGGUGAGUAACGCGUAGGUAACCUGCCUGGUAGCGGGGGAUAACUAUUGGAAACGAUAGCUAAUACCGCAUAAGAGUAGAUGUUGCAUGACAUUUGCUUAAAAGGUGCAAUUGCACCACUACCAGAUGGACCUGCGUUGUAUUAGCUAGUUGGUGGGGUAACGGCUCACCAAGGCGACGAUACAUAGCCGACCUGAGAGGGUGAUCGGCCACACUGGGACUGAGACACGGCCCAGACUCCUACGGGAGGCAGCAGUAGGGAAUCUUCGGCAAUGGACGGAAGUCUGACCGAGCAACGCCGCGUGAGUGAAGAAGGUUUUCGGAUCGUAAAGCUCUGUUGUAAGAGAAGAACGAGUGUGAGAGUGGAAAGUUCACACUGUGACG